RNAcentral lists this unclassified non-coding RNA (253 nucleotides) under uncultured Criblamydiaceae bacterium. RNAcentral describes it as "contains 16S-23S intergenic spacer region". It matches the Rfam family "Bacterial small subunit ribosomal RNA", at positions 524 to 776 of the family's 1533-position model. The record is from RNAcentral. Lineage: Bacteria; Pseudomonadati; Chlamydiota; Chlamydiia; Parachlamydiales; Candidatus Criblamydiaceae.
UACGGAGGGUGCAAGCGUUAAUCGGAUUUAUUGGGCGUAAAGGGGGCGCAGGCGGGAAAGCAAGUCAGACGUGAAAUUCCGAGGCUCAACCUCGGAGCUGCAUUUGAAACUACUUUUCUUGAGGAUAGGCGGAGAAAACGGAAUUCCACAAGUAGCGGUGAAAUGCGUAGAUAUGUGGAAGAACACCCGUGGCGAAAGCGGUUUUCUAGCUUAUUCCUGACGCUGAGGCCCGAAAGCUAGGGGAGCAAACAGG